UCACUCUAUAUAAAUGGUAUUAUAUAAUUUAUUUAUUAUACAGAAGACACAUUUAAGAUGACUGUAACAAAUUGAACGAGUUACAAACACACACCAUUACUUGCAUCAACCUCAUUCCGUACAUGCGCGCGCGCGCGCGCGUGUAAAAACAGCAACAUGACGUAUAAGCGAUGACCUCAUAAUUUGGAUAGGGUUUUAGAGGCCGUGAAAAAUAGGAACCACAUAAAUUUGCAUACAAAUAAACAAAUUUAAUUAAUUAAAAAAUAAUAAAAUCCACCACCGGGUCAAACAAUGCGGCCGCCUUCCCAGUGUUCGUCAAUUAUUAUAUAUACACACCACCCGCCUUACACACCCGUUUUCUAUAUAUCUUCGUUCAUUCCGCCUUAUGUAUAUAGAAACGUGUAUGUGUAUAUAUAUAUAUAUAUGUAUACGUGUAUAUAUAUAUAUAUAACGUAUACGGAAGCAAAGGUGAUAGAGCUUGUGACAGAUGAAAAUGGAGGCAUAUAGAGAUUUCCUACGCAGGAGAGAUGGCGCCGUCAGCCGUGCCUAUCUCCAUUGGGUGAGCGACUAGCUUGGCUGCCGGCAUCAUGUCUCUUGCAUAGGACAUCUCGCAUGUGUUUAUAUAUGUAUGUAUGUAUGUAUUUGUGUCUCGCACGUGUGUGUAUAUAUACAUAUAUAUAUAUAUAUAUGUACAUACAACGCACACAUAUCUUAUAUCUUGGUUUCCAAAGAAAUUAUGCUGUGAGAGCUGAUUCAGAAGCCAACUACUAAUCUUCCUUCUUUACAAGUGAAAAUGAGAAAUAAGUGAAAAGAUGAGAGACCAAAAUUUAUGUUUUUAUAUAUUUUUUGGAUUUAAUUAACUAAUUAUUCUUUUACUCUCCACUAAUUCGAUUAAUUAACUGGCUAAUUUUGAUUAGUAAAUUUGUGGUUUUCGCUUUUGUCUUUUUUCUACUUCAUUCACAGAAAAUCAAUUAUAUUCGAUGUAUCUUAUAAUAUAAGAUAAUUUUUUUUUAAUAGAUCCAUUUAAUUUAAUACAAGUUGGUUAUAAUUAUUUUAUAUGUGAUUAUUGUACGACUAACUUACACU
RNAcentral lists this long non-coding RNA (1086 nucleotides) under Carica papaya (papaya). RNAcentral's name for it is "long non-coding RNA (CPAP_LNC005732)". Lineage: Eukaryota; Viridiplantae; Streptophyta; Magnoliopsida; Brassicales; Caricaceae. The record is from RNAcentral.